GUGAGGAAUAUUGGACAAUGGGCGCAAGCCUGAUCCAGCCAUGCCGCGUGCAGGAAGACGCAUCUAUGGUGUGUAAACUGCUUUUGUACGGGAAGAAACACUCCCUCGUGAGGGAGCUUGACGGUACCGUAAGAAUAAGGAUCGGCUAACUCCGUGCCAGCAGCCGCGGUAAUACGGAGGAUCCAAGCGUUAUCCGGAAUCAUUGGGUUUAAAGGGUCCGUAGGCGGUUUAAUAAGUCAGUGGUGAAAGCCCAUCGCUCAACGAUGGAACAGCCAUUGAUACUGUUAGACUUGAAUUACAAGGAAGUAACUAGAAUAUGUAGUGUAGCGGUGAAAUGCUUAGAUAUUACAUGGAAUACCAAUUGCGAAGGCAGGUUACUACUUGUGGAUUGACGCUGAUGGACGAAAGCGUGGGGAGCGAACAGGAUUAGAUACCCGGGUAGUCC
Molecule: ribosomal RNA, 445 nt
Filed under: uncultured bacterium
Lineage: Bacteria
Description: partial 16S ribosomal RNA
Rfam family: Bacterial small subunit ribosomal RNA
Source: RNAcentral